This 575-nucleotide ribosomal RNA is filed under the name Lagodon rhomboides. RNAcentral describes it as "partial 16S ribosomal RNA". It matches the Rfam family "Bacterial large subunit ribosomal RNA", at positions 1819 to 2597 of the family's 2925-position model. Lineage: Eukaryota; Metazoa; Chordata; Actinopteri; Spariformes; Sparidae. The record is from RNAcentral.
CCUCUUGCAAUACUAAAGAAUAAGAGGUCCCGCCUGCCCUGUGACUACAUGUUUAACGGCCGCGGUAUUUUGACCGUGCGAAGGUAGCGCAAUCACUUGUCUUUUAAAUGGAGACCUGUAUGAAUGGCACCACGAGGGCUUAACUGUCUCCCUCCCCCAGUCAAUGAAAUUGAUCUCUCCGUGCAGAAGCGGAGAUAAAAACAUAAGACGAGAAGACCCUAUGGAGCUUAAGACACCAGAGUAGCCCAUGUUAAACACCCCUAAAUAAAGGGAAAAAACCAAAUGGACCCUGCCCUAAUGUCUUUGGUUGGGGCGACCGCGGGGAAAUACAAAACCCCCAUGUGGAAAAGGAAUACUAUGUUCCCAAAUCCAAGAGCUCCCGCUCUAGCAAACAGAACUUCUGACCAAUUGGAUCCGGCAAUGCCGAUCAACGAACCGAGUUACCCUAGGGAUAACAGCGCAAUCCCCUUAAAGAGCCCUUAUCGACAAGGGGGUUUACGACCUCGAUGUUGGAUCAGGACAUCCUAAUGGUGCAGCCGCUAUUAAGGGUUCGUUUGUUCAACGAUUAAAGUCCU